Cotesia glomerata is the source of this 507-nucleotide long non-coding RNA. RefSeq lists it as uncharacterized. The transcript is spliced from 3 exons. Lineage: Eukaryota; Metazoa; Arthropoda; Insecta; Hymenoptera; Braconidae. The record is from RefSeq and is a predicted model, not a curated record.
UGAUAGUGAUAACUCAGAAGAUCAAAGUGAUCAACCUUGUGCAAAGAAAGUGAAACUACACUAUGGCAUACUACCAAGUCAUCAUUCCCAACAAUCAUCACAGGGAUCACAAAAUAUUAUUAUUGAAACUGGACGCCACCCUGAUAAGUUAAACACAAGGCAUACUAUCAAUGUUGUGUAAGACUUUAUUAAUCGAAUAGUACCAGACUAUUUUAAUUUUUAUCUUAGAUCUGGCCGCUGGAGUGGCCAUUUACAAAAACAACAACACUUCACAUGUUACUACACUCAACAUGGAUCUAGCAGUUCAAAAUGCUACAGAAGUUCAUGUUUCCCAAACAUCUAUUGGUGAUAUGUGUGCUUCACAUGUUAAACUAGAAGACGGAAGUGAAUUAAUUAUGAUUGUAGUAUACAUUUCACCUAAUAACAAAAUGGAUCAUAUAAUUUCAUUUUUACAUGAAAGCUGGAGAUUUUAAUGUAAAUUUUGCAAGAGCUGAAUCAAUGCCAUUA